This 514-nucleotide ribosomal RNA is filed under the name uncultured rumen bacterium. Its description in RNAcentral is "bacterial SSU rRNA". It matches the Rfam family "Bacterial small subunit ribosomal RNA", at positions 161 to 653 of the family's 1533-position model. The record is from RNAcentral.
UGCUAAUACCGAAUGUUGUGGAACUUCCGCAUGGAGGCUCCACCAAAGAUGACCUCUUCCUGAAAGUUAUCGCUCAAAGAUGGGCCUGCGUCUGAUUAGCUAGUUGGUGGGGCAACGGCCUACCAAGGCGACGAUCAGUAGCCGGUCUGAGAGGAUGAACGGCCACAUUGGAACUGAGACACGGUCCAGACUCCUACGGGAGGCAGCAGUGGGGAAUCUUCCGCAAUGGGCGAAAGCCUGACGGAGCAACGCCGCGUGAGUUAAGAAGGCCUUCGGGUCGUAAAGCUCUGUUGUCGGGGACGAAUGUAGCGCUUAUCAACAACGAGUGCUAAUGACGGUACCUGACGAGGAAGCCACGGCUAACUACGUGCCAGCAGCCGCGGUAAUACGUAGGUGGCGAGCGUUGUCCGGAAUUAUUGGGCGUAAAGGGAGCGCAGGCGGGAGGCCAAGUCCAUCCUAAAAGUUCGGGGCUCAACCCCGUGAGGGAUGGAAACUGGUCUUCUUGAGUGCAGGA